AACGAACGCUGGCGGCAUGCCUAACACAUGCAAGUCGAACGAGACCUUCGGGUCUAGUGGCGCACGGGUGCGUAACGCGUGGGAACCUGCCUUUAGGUUCGGAAUAACUCAGAGAAAUUUGAGCUAAUACCGGAUGAUGUCUUCGGACCAAAGAUUUAUCGCCUUUAGAUGGGCCCGCGUUGGAUUAGCUAGUUGGUGGGGUAAAGGCCUACCAAGGCGACGAUCCAUAGCUGGUCUGAGAGGAUGAUCAGCCACACUGGGACUGAGACACGGCCCAGACUCCUACGGGAGGCAGCAGUGGGGAAUAUUGGACAAUGGGCGAAAGCCUGAUCCAGCAAUGCCGCGUGAGUGAUGAAGGCCUUAGGGUUGUAAAGCUCUUUUACCCGAGAUGAUAAUGACAGUAUCGGGAGAAUAAGCUCCGGCUAACUCCGUGC
Molecule: ribosomal RNA, 434 nt
Filed under: uncultured bacterium
Lineage: Bacteria
Description: partial 16S ribosomal RNA
Rfam family: Bacterial small subunit ribosomal RNA
Source: RNAcentral